CAGUAGCCGCGGUAACACAGAGGGUGCGAGCGUUAAUCGGAUUUACUGGGCGUAAAGCGUGCGUAGGCGGCUUUUUAAGUCGGAUGUGAAAUCCCUGAGCUUAACUUAGGAAUUGCAUUCGAUACUGGGAAGCUAGAGUAUGGGAGAGGAUGGUAGAAUUCCAGGUGUAGCGGUGAAAUGCGUAGAGAUCUGGAGGAAUACCGAUGGCGAAGGCAGCCAUCUGGCCUAAUACUGACGCUGAGGUACGAAAGCAUGGGGAGCAAACAGGAUUAGAUACCCCCGUAGUCCCUGUCUCUUAUAC
Molecule: ribosomal RNA, 301 nt
Filed under: uncultured bacterium
Lineage: Bacteria
Description: partial 16S ribosomal RNA
Rfam family: Bacterial small subunit ribosomal RNA
Source: RNAcentral